UAAUUAUAUUCGUAUAGUGGCAGAAAUAAUAUUCAAAUUGAAUAAUACGUUUCUUAAGAAAUCUUUCAAAGCUUUAAAAUUAUGAAGUCGUUAUAUUCUUCUUUUACUCUUAACGUAAUUAAUUCUCUAUUUAAUAAAGUCCCGGACACGCUUAACGAGGUCGGAGAGAUAUAACGCACCGGUACAAAUAUCCUUUCAAUGAUUUUAUUGAUAAGAAAGUGAGAAGAGAAUCUUUUUAUAAUGCAGAGGGUUUUACUCAUCAUCUAGCAAUCAAAAAUUAUACAUUAUAUCACGUAAAACCCGUAUAUAAUAUAUAAAAUUCGUGAAAGUUCUUUUAACAUAGCGUAAGAUCAGAGAGAACAAGAGUGAAUACAAAAGAUUGUCAUAUUUAUUCAAUAGGAAUUAAUAGAAGACAGAAAUGACAAAGUUAUUUACAUAUUUGUUAUUUAUUAUCAUUCAUAUUUGAUUUGGAGUUUAGAAUGUUAAGGUAAAGAAAGAGCUGUGAUAUUUAUUCUUCUGGAUAUAAAGGCAGAUUGAUUCAAGAACUGUUAAAGUUA
Vespula vulgaris is the source of this 557-nucleotide long non-coding RNA. RefSeq lists it as uncharacterized. The transcript has 4 exons. The record is from RefSeq and is a predicted model, not a curated record. NCBI's taxonomy places the organism in Eukaryota, Metazoa, Arthropoda, Insecta, Hymenoptera, Vespidae.